This 95-nucleotide microRNA precursor is filed under the name Canis lupus familiaris (dog). RNAcentral describes it as "mir-8799 microRNA precursor family". It matches the Rfam family "mir-8799 microRNA precursor family". Lineage: Eukaryota; Metazoa; Chordata; Mammalia; Carnivora; Canidae. The record is from Rfam by way of RNAcentral. RNAcentral also lists the same sequence under 1 other name.
GGGGAGAGUGCCGGAUCCUGGGGUGUGUCCCCCAGUGCCCUGGGUUCCAGGGCCUGCACCAUUGGAAUUGUGCUCCCGGGGCCACACAGCCCCCU